CAUUGGAAGUAACUUCUUGUCAAAGCCUGAUCUUGACACGUCUCAGAAGCUAAGCAGGGCCAGACUUGGUUAGUACUUGGAUGGGAGGCCCCGGCAAUACCAAGUGCCACAGUGG
This 115-nucleotide ribosomal RNA is filed under the name Periophthalmus magnuspinnatus. Lineage: Eukaryota; Metazoa; Chordata; Actinopteri; Gobiiformes; Gobiidae. The record is from RNAcentral.